Molecule: ribosomal RNA, 259 nt
Filed under: uncultured bacterium
Lineage: Bacteria
Description: partial 16S ribosomal RNA
Rfam family: Bacterial small subunit ribosomal RNA
Source: RNAcentral
CGGCGGACGGGUGAGUAACGCGUGGGGGAACCUGCCCUAUACAGGGGGAUAACAGUUAGAAAUGACUGCUAAUACCGCAUAAGCGCACGGAGCCGCAUGGCGCUGAGUGAAAAACGAUAGUGGUAUAGGAGGGACCCGCGUCUGAUUAGGUAGUUGGUGAGGUAACGGCCCACCAAGCCGACGAUCAGUAGCCGACCUGAGAGGGUGACCGGCCACAUUGGGACUGAGACACGGCCCAAACUCCUACGGAAGGCAGCAG